GUGUUUUCUUUGGCUGCACACAUACUAAAAUUGGAAUGAUACAGGGAAGAUGAGCAUGGCCUCUGCACAAGGAUGAAACACAAAUUCCUGAAGCAUUCCAUACUUUU
Small nuclear RNA from Leptonychotes weddellii (Weddell seal), 107 nucleotides. Lineage: Eukaryota; Metazoa; Chordata; Mammalia; Carnivora; Phocidae. The record is from RefSeq and is a predicted model, not a curated record.